AUACAUCAUACAGUUCUUCCCUUUAAAGUAUAUACUCCCAUGGGUUUUGGUAUAUUACAUUAUUAAUUUCUUAAAAUUUUGGUAAAAUAUAUGUAAUAUAAAAUUUGCCAUUUCUACCAUUUUUAAGUGUACAAUUCAGUAGGAUUAAUGGGCCAGCUUUUAUGGUUCACUUGAAGAUAACUCUAGUUUAAUACUACGUACAUGAAAAAUAUGAUGUCUUUAUUAUCAUUCCUAUCACCAGUGCUGAGCUUCCUAACUUACCAGUUUUUCUAUGCUUUUAAGGUGCCAUUUCAACUUAGAAAGCUCACUGACUUUUGGUAUUUUCUGUAUUUUGGU
Molecule: long non-coding RNA, 336 nt
Filed under: Marmota monax (woodchuck)
Lineage: Eukaryota; Metazoa; Chordata; Mammalia; Rodentia; Sciuridae
Source: RNAcentral